CCUGGUCAUCCUCCAUGCCCCGA
RNAcentral lists this non-coding RNA (23 nucleotides) under Arabidopsis thaliana (thale cress). The record is from RNAcentral. Lineage: Eukaryota; Viridiplantae; Streptophyta; Magnoliopsida; Brassicales; Brassicaceae.